UGGGGAAUUUUGCGCAAUGGGCGAAAGCCUGACGCAGCAACGCCGCGUGAGUGAUGAAGGCCUUCGGGUCGUAAAGCUCUGUCAGGGGGAAAGAACCACCAGGAAGCUAAUACCUUCUUGGUCUGACGGUACCCUCAAAGGAAGCACCGGCUAACUCCGUGCCAGCAGCCGCGGUAAUACGGAGGGUGCGAGCGUUGUUCGGAAUUAUUGGGCGUAAAGCGCGUGUAGGCGGUCUGUUUAGUCUGGUGUGAAAGCCCUGGGCUCAACCCGGGAAGUGCAUUGGAUACUGGCAGACUUGAGUACGGGAGAGGAUAGUGGAAUUCCGAGUGUAGGGGUGAAAUCCGUAGAUAUUCGGAGGAACACCGGUGGCGAAGGCGGCUAUCUGGACCGAUACUGACGCUGAGACGCGAAAGCGUGGGGAGCAAACA
RNAcentral lists this ribosomal RNA (428 nucleotides) under uncultured Desulfuromonas sp. RNAcentral's name for it is "bacterial SSU rRNA". It matches the Rfam family "Bacterial small subunit ribosomal RNA", at positions 355 to 774 of the family's 1533-position model. Lineage: Bacteria; Pseudomonadati; Thermodesulfobacteriota; Desulfuromonadia; Desulfuromonadales; Desulfuromonadaceae. The record is from RNAcentral.